Molecule: ribosomal RNA, 460 nt
Filed under: uncultured bacterium
Lineage: Bacteria
Description: partial 16S ribosomal RNA
Rfam family: Bacterial small subunit ribosomal RNA
Source: RNAcentral
CCUACGGGAGGCAGCAGUGAGGAAUAUUGGUCAAUGGGCGCGAGUCUGAACCAGCCAAGUAGCGUGAAGGAUGACGGCCCUACGGGUUGUAAACUUCUUUUGUAAGGGAGUAAAGUGAGGCACGCGUGCCUUUUUGUAUGUACCUUAUGAAUAAGGAUCGGCUAACUCCGUGCCAGCAGCCGCGGUAAUACGGAGGAUUCGAGCGUUAUCCGGAUUUAUUGGGUUUAAAGGGUGCGUAGGCGGGUGGUUAAGUCAGUGGUGAAAGUUUGCGGCUCAACCGUGAAAUUGCAAUUGAUACUGGCAGCCUAGAGUACAGUUGAGGUAGGCGGAAUGCAUGGUGUAGCGGUGAAAUGCUUAGAGAUCACGAAGAACACCGAUUGCGAAGGCAGCCUACUAAGCUGCCACUGACGUUGAGGCACGAAAGUGUGGGGAGCAAACAGGAUUAGAUACCCGUGUAGUC